Ascosphaera acerosa is the source of this 102-nucleotide non-coding RNA. Lineage: Eukaryota; Fungi; Ascomycota; Eurotiomycetes; Onygenales; Ascosphaeraceae. The record is from the annotation of a GenBank genome assembly.
UCCUUAGUGGUGUAACGGCUAACAUCGCUGUCUUUCAAUUUCGCGGAAUUCUGCAGGAAAAUUGGCGCACAGCAGCUCGGGGUUCGAUUCCCCGCUAAGGAG